This 946-nucleotide unclassified non-coding RNA is filed under the name Hevea brasiliensis (rubber tree). Lineage: Eukaryota; Viridiplantae; Streptophyta; Magnoliopsida; Malpighiales; Euphorbiaceae. The record is from RNAcentral.
CUGUGGCAUAUUUCUAAUUAUGUGGAAAUAGUUGGCCAGUUGUGCCUUAAAAGUGCACACUACUUUUUAUAGGGUUUGGUUGGCUUUCUGCUGUUUGUCUAAAGCUGAAAAUGUGGAUACUAGUAUGGAAGCAUUUAUAGGGAUUUCAUGGUGUUAGGAAGCCAUUUAUGUAUGGUGAGAGAGGCACUCCAAUAAAACACAUUUAAAUCUACUAUUUUUUAAGUAGACAUUACAAUAUGUGAAAAUCUAUACAGCUGUAAUUGGUGAUCUUUGGAAACCAGUUAUUUAAGAGGUAGGCUGAACUUUCAAACUGCCUCUUCACUGUGCUCUUCUUUGUAAAGGAUGUUGCCAGGAAGAUAUGGUAAUGGAGGUAGUUGAUAAAGCAAACAAUGUACUUAUGUUGUUACAUUGAGGUUUGCUUAAUAGACAUUGAUAUUAUGGACAUUGUAACCAUUUGUCAAUUUUAUCCGCACAGGAUAUCUUACCAUGGUUUUAAAUAACGGCGUAAUGGUUGUUAGUUAAAGUUUUUUUUCUUUGUUUUUGCCUUACCGUUACCAUUACCAUCGUUAUUUAACGAAUUUUUAAAUUUGUAACUUUAAAAGCUGUAAUGGCCAUUAUUUAAAGGUAAUGGUUGUAACAGCCUUUAUUUUUCCAGUUAAGAAUUCUUGACUUUUUUUACCUCUUUCAUGUGAAAUGCAGUCGAGGGAACUUUUUUUUUGGGCAAAAACUAUCUUGACUCGUUCAUUUUAGCGCCUUUUCAUUUUUCUCUCUAGGCAACUAAGCCAUUUUCUCGCAACUUUCUCUCAAUUUUCUCUUCAAUCAACUCAAGUGAAACCAUUCAUUUCUCUACAAAUUUUUGAGCUCAAGAGCAUGGAUCAUCAAAUGGAUAAGGUAGUUUUGAAGUAAAGGGGAUUGAAGGGUGAGAGUUUUUUUUUUUUUUUUUUUU